CCUACGGGAGGCAGCAGUGGGGAAUAUUGGACAAUGGGGGGAACCCUGAUCCAGCGACGCCGCGUGAGUGAAGAAGUAUUUCGGUAUGUAAAGCUCUAUCAGCAGGGAAGAAAAUGACGGUACCUGACUAAGAAGCACCGGCUAACUACGUGCCAGCAGCCGCGGUAAUACGUAGGGAGCAAGCGUUAUCCGGAUGUACUGGGCGUAAAGGGAGCGUAGACGGUGUAGCAAGUCUGAUGUGAAAGGGGGGGGCUCAACCCCGGGACUGCACUGGAAACUGUGGGGCUGGAGUGCAGGAGAGGUAAGCGGAAUGCCUAGUGUAGCGGUGAAAUGCGUAGAUAGUAGGAGGAACACCAGUGGCGAAGGCGGCUUACUGGACUGUAACUGACGUUGAGGCUCGAAAGCGUGGGGAGCAAACAGGAUUAGAUACCCGAGUAGUC
Molecule: ribosomal RNA, 440 nt
Filed under: uncultured bacterium
Lineage: Bacteria
Description: partial 16S ribosomal RNA
Rfam family: Bacterial small subunit ribosomal RNA
Source: RNAcentral